AAAGAAACAGGCACCUAUUUCCGUCUCUAUCCCACCCCGGCCGCCGACCCGCUGGUCAAUAUCACAGCUUCCUCCCCGUGCGGCCCCUUUAACGGCUCUGCAGGGGGAAGGCUCCACGGGCCUGUUCCGGGCCGCUCAGUUACCGUCACAGAGCUGGGGAGGGGCCCGAAGCGCAGGCGCUGGGCUGGGCAAAGAUGCGGCCGCUGGAGCCGGCACAAUCCUGACCAGCCCGCGCCCGCUGGAGCCACCGCCAGGGACAUGUCCCGAAACGGUCCUCAGAGAUCUGGAACAUGAUGCUUUUGUGCAUGUCAGGUGACGAACCAAACCCAAAAAAAAGUACUGUAUCCAAAAGAAUAGAAGGACACUCAGAAGAGGAAUUCAGUGUGGUGAAUUCCAUCACCAGCCUGCAGUCCACAGCCAAACCCUGUGUUCCUCAUUAAGAAGAUAAUUUGCAGUCAGAUGCAUGGUAUUGAGUUCCAUGAACAGACCGAAAACCAGGCCACCUGCUUUCCUCAGAUGCAACCAGUUCAUAUGCCAGAAAUUGUUGGACACACCUAGGAAAACAUGACUCACCACCUGAAAAUCAGACUUCCACCCUUUGUGAUUGGUAAAGAUAAACUAUGAGUAAUUGGAACUCUUCUGGCUCAGACUGAUAACACUUCAUUGGAAAAGGAACCUAUCUUCACAUUUUAAGGCAUUUUGAUGUUCUCUGUGGAAACCUUCCCUGAAUGUUAUAAAUAUGGUUAGCUACUGUCCAGUAUCUAAUCUCCUGUUCAUGAGCCAGUUUAAUCAAGAAACUAACAAAAUGUACAACAUAUCUACACACAGCUAAUAUCCCAGAGCCUUUGCAGUCUGGUUUCAGGCCAGAAUACUGAACAGAAAAAUCAUAGGGGCAGCGAAUAAAUGAUUACUUGCUACCAAUGGAUAAGGGAUUAGGGGCAGAUUUUUAAGAGUAUUUAAGUGCCUAAUGGGAUUUCAGAAGUAUCAAGGUGCCUAGCUCCUGUUGAA
This is a long non-coding RNA of Mauremys reevesii (Reeves's turtle), 1008 nucleotides long. RefSeq lists it as uncharacterized. The transcript is spliced from 3 exons. The record is from RefSeq and is a predicted model, not a curated record. NCBI's taxonomy places the organism in Eukaryota, Metazoa, Chordata, Testudines, Geoemydidae.